AAAUUACGAGCCCAAGCUUAAAACCCAAAGGACUUGACGGUGUUCCACCCCACUAGAGGAGCCUGUUCUAUAAUCGAUUCUCCCCGAUCAACCUCACCACCUUUUGAAUACUCAGCCUGUAUACCUCCGUCGCAAGCUUACCAUGUGAACGCACCCAGUGAGCUUAAUGAUUUAACAUUCAUACGUCAGGUCAAGGUGCAGCCAACAAGGUGGAAAGAAAUGGGCUACAAUUUCUAUCCUAGAAUAAACGAAAGACUACAUGAAACAUAGCCACUGAAGGCGGAUUUAGUAGUAAAAAGAAAAUAGAGAGUUCUUUUUAAUUAGGCCCUGGAACGCGUACACACCGCCCGUCACCCUCUUCGAGCACAAAUAUUAUGUCAUUAACACCCCCCACACCCCUAUAGAAGAGGUAAGUCGUAACACGGUAAGCGUACUGGAAAGUGCACUUGGAAUAACAAAAUGUAACUUAAUUAAAAGUGCCUUGCUUACACCAAGGAUAUGUCUGUGAAACCCUAACCAUUUUGAGCUUAAAAUCCAGCC
This 540-nucleotide ribosomal RNA is filed under the name Mantophryne cf. lateralis LAO-2013. RNAcentral describes it as "partial 12S ribosomal RNA". The stretch from base 1 to 462 matches the Rfam family "Bacterial small subunit ribosomal RNA", at positions 877 to 1533 of the family's 1533-position model. Lineage: Eukaryota; Metazoa; Chordata; Amphibia; Anura; Microhylidae. The record is from RNAcentral.